CCGGUAUUUAGCGUUACGAGUUUCGACGAGCAACUCGCCGGAAAACAACCAUUAGGUUUAGCAGAGAAGAAGAGAAGGUUCUAGAAGGAUAAUAACGAUGAGUCGUAGCUUGGGGAUUCCGGUGAAGCUUCUACACGAAGCAACAGGGCACAUAGUAACCGUUGAAAUGAAGAGCGGUGAGCUUUACAGAGGAAGUAUGGUUGAGUGCGAGGAUAACUGGAAUUGUCAGCUCGAAAGCAUAACUUACACUGCCAAAGAUGGAAGGGUGUCACAACUGGAACACGUUUUUAUUCGAGGCAGCAAAGUCAGGUUCAUGAUAAUUCCUGAUAUGCUUAAGAAUGCUCCCAUGUUCAAGCGGCUAGAAUCCAGAAUCAAGGGCAAAGGUUCAUCACUCGGUGUUGGACGGGGACGUGCUAUGGCCAUGCGAGCUAAGGCUCAGGCUGCAGGUCGUGGAGCAGCACCUGGUCGAGGUGUUGUGCCUCCUGUGAGAAGAUGAUCUCCCUGCAUCGGUUGGUCUCUGGUUUUUGAGUUCGUAAAUUCAUUGUAAUGGUUCGAGGCCAACUUACACGUACCUCGAUUAAUUUCACAGAUUAUUUGGCACCUCCACCAGCAACAUGUACUAGGUAAUGUUCACCAAGACUAGAAUAGAUGGGAAGAAACCAUCUAGCCUGGAUAUGGUUAUUCUUAGAGAUACUAAAGGAAAUGGUCUGUUUAGGAAGGCAGCUUCUUGUGGUUAGUUCUUAUUGCAAUCGAUGUUGGUAUCCAUUGAAUUUCACUAGAAUGUUGUAGUAUUCCUUUUGUUAGGAAUACUACAUGAUUUUUAAGUGCUUCUUUUCAUCUUUAAUUAGAAGUUUUGGAGGGAUCGUUUUAUUUCUAAUGUGGAACUUUUAUAUAGUAAGUUGGAGGAUAUAAAUAUCAGUUAAUUAA
This is an RNA transcript of Solanum lycopersicum (tomato), 927 nucleotides long. It is a transcript of the gene named small nuclear ribonucleoprotein SmD3b, with no coding region annotated. Lineage: Eukaryota; Viridiplantae; Streptophyta; Magnoliopsida; Solanales; Solanaceae. The record is from RefSeq and is a predicted model, not a curated record.